Molecule: long non-coding RNA, 3085 nt
Organism: Hypanus sabinus (Atlantic stingray)
Lineage: Eukaryota; Metazoa; Chordata; Chondrichthyes; Myliobatiformes; Dasyatidae
Exons: 6
Source: RefSeq, a predicted model, not a curated record
AAAAAAAACAAAAUGCCCUCCGGGUUAUCUUUGUUAACCGGCAGACAACAUCCGACAGAAAGCCCUGCCUCGAUGCCAGAGUGAGAGCACUCACCUCUAACGCGCAUUGUCCAUCAGUUUGAACAGGGCACGACUGCGCAAGCACGUGAAGGUCGGCCUAUGAGAACAGCGGGAGAGUUUAAAAAGUGGGCAGACUAACGGAGCAGGCAUCGUAGGAGCGGGUGACGGAGUAGGAAAGCUUCAAGAGACUUCGGCGAGCAGAGGCUGAGGACGAGCUUGCUCCCAGUUUUGGAACUACGAAGAAUUUGAAGGAAUUGAUAAUCAUCUUGAAUGUUACAAUGAAAAUGAAGAUCUGGAGGAUGCAAUCAGAAAAUUGUAUGAAGGCCAAAUUUUUAACUCGAUGCUCAACCCAGCAUGGAAGGAAAGCGUGCAAGGAGCUGGCUUGUUUCAAACCCAGGACCACUUACCUUGAAGUCAGAAUAUGCAUCAUUUCAUGAUCAGAGUUACAUUGUAAGAUAUUUUGUUGCUCCCUGGGUAAAUGGAGAGAAGCCAGUCGGCCAUCAUAACUCACUGGCAAUCUAAACUGGAGGAUCUGUAAUCCAGAGGCUGCUUUUUAAAAGAAGCAAUUCAAUGCUGCUGGUAACUCUCAAAGGAUUCCAAUAAGGCCAUCAUGUGAGAUUAUGAAUGAACUUUCUUCCGAUAAAUUGGCAAAAGACUCCGCUGAAUGGAAGACUUCCUCAGACAUUACUAACCACUUGGAGUUAUGUGUAAAGAAUGGGGAUGUGAAUAGAAGGCAAGCGGAUACCAAAGUCCUUUGGGCAUAAUCAUCCCAAAGCAUCCUCUGUCUAAUUCAAAUCCAUUUCCAUCAAAAAGCCUUGUGGAAUUCUUCCACUGGAUAUUGCAGUUCACAUCCACAGAUCAUUAAACCUAACAGGGUAGAUCAAUAAAGGUGGUUAAAUAGACAACUGGAUGCUUUCCUUUAUUAGCCAAAGCAUAGAAUAAAGGGAGGUUAUGCUGGAAAGUUACACAAGUUAGACCCCACCUAGAGACUAUACACAGUUCUGGUCUCUACUUGACAGGAAAGAUGAUGAGAGAGAUUCAGAAAAUGUACAGACAUGUUGCUAGGACUGGAAAAUUGUAACAAUGAGGAAAAACCUAUAAGAGAAUUAUCAAAUAAUGUGAAUAAAAUUAUAGGAUGCCUCUGUGUAAAUAAUGGGAAGCUAUUUAUCUUUGUGGGUGGGAUUAAGGGUUUGGGCAGCAGAUCAGUCAAAAAGCAUGAGGGAAAUUAUUUAAAAUAAAUACAAAAGGAUUCAAAGUGAGAUGAGGAAUUGUCUUUCCCAUCCAGAAUAUAAUAGAGAUCUUUAACUUCCUUUCAAGCAUUGAGCUCAAGGCAGAAGAACCCAAAGGUACUCAGAUAAAUACAGGAAGAGCUUGUAGGCCUAUGGACUUGGUGUUAUAAAGCAAGGUAAGGCUGGAUAACAUGGAUCGGGUGCACUGAAUAGCCUAUAAAUGUUCCAUAAUUUAAUGGUGCUCCAGCAAAAUAAAUUUGCUGAAGUAGACUUGCAUUUGAAAAAUGAAAAGCAGCAAACAGCAGGGGAAAGAAAUGCAUGAAAUGCAAUGCAGAAGCAGCUAUUUGUCAGGUCAAGCGAUUGUAAUCUAUAAUACUGUAGUGAGAAGCAACUUCAGAACAAAUCAAACUUCUUAGCUCUCGAGCAAGAAAUCCCAUCAGCUGUUAGUUUAGUCGGCUGAAUAUUACUAAAUAUUACUGAUUGCUUUUGGCAAAGAAUGAUGUUGAAUUCUGUGCAAUAAAAUCAGCUGUUUAUCCAAAAUGGAUUAUAUUAAUGUAUAGGCUCUAUGCGAGCUGCCACAUACUCUAUUUACCUUAUAUUCUUUGGUAUCUGACUACUGCCCAAAACAAGGCUAAUAGCCAACACAGUAUGACUGCUUCCUGGAUCUUGGAGACCAGGAAACUCUUCACUUCCAUGAUGCACAAAAUUUAGAUUUUCCUUCAAAUAUUUCUCUAACAAUUACACAUAUUAUCUAAAGCUGCCAAUGGUAAUUCCUACUGUUAGACUACAAGAUGUUUAAUUCUAUUUGUAACAUCUCAUGAUGAUACAAUUGCACAAAGAGAUAUUGAAGCCAAGGUCUUGGAGUUUAUUGAGGGGAUGAUGGUAUUCAAUGCUGAGCUGUAGGUAAAGAGCAUGCUAGCUGUCCAGAUGUUGCAGCAUUGAGUUAUCUAUGUAUUUCAUGAUAUUGUUGUUGUAGUGUGAGUAUUAUUAAAAUCAAGAUAAUACUAAUCGGGGAGCUGUUGGUAGCAAGAGGCGGGAUCCAGGGUUGGCGGGGUCUUUACUUCUGCUGUUUUUACUCCCAGUAUGCAUUGUAUAUAGUUCCUCCACCCAUGCCGCAUGAGGUACCUGGAAGCCUCUGUAUUGUAAAUAUCAUUUGCCAUCGCAGAUAAAGAUGCUCUUUUGGCCAUCAAGUUGUGGAGUGGUCUUUUUGUAAAGUAGAAGUUACCACAAUUAUAAACUUUUGCCAGGCCACUCCUCAGCUUCCAAAGCUUCAGAGAAAACAACCUAAAUUUGUUCACCUGUUCAUUGGGGCUAAUAGUCUACAUUUUGGCAGCAUCCUGAUAAAUAUCCUUCUAAAGCUUCUGCGUCCUUCCUAUACAGUCUAUGCAGUCUAACAUAUUUGUAAAGCUGUAACAUGACUUCCCGACUCCUACCAUCAAUGCUCUGACCAAUGAAACCAAGUACAGCAUACACCUUUAACAUUCCACCUACUUCUGUGGCCACCUUCAGGGAGCUGUGAACAGCACGCGCAUACUGAAAGAUAAAUAGAUAAAAGAAGCUGAGUCAAGGAAGUGUGUAUUGUAGACACUAACUGCAGAUAUGUUUUGCAGGGGAUCUCACUCUAAAUAGAUCAUGAGUGGUCCAACUGAUUCAUUAACUCCAAAUGCCUCCAUUUUACACUUUAAAACCUUAUGAAGAUCAAAAGUAAUAUUCAAGAACCAAUGGGGAACAAAAUUGUCAGGAAUAAUAAUCCUAUCCAGAUACUUGUAUAUCUGAUCUCUCAGAACACCUUCCAA